RNAcentral lists this unclassified non-coding RNA (764 nucleotides) under uncultured bacterium. RNAcentral describes it as "partial contains 16S ribosomal RNA, 16S-23S ribosomal RNA intergenic spacer, and 23S ribosomal RNA". The stretch from base 652 to 764 matches the Rfam family "Bacterial large subunit ribosomal RNA", at positions 1 to 113 of the family's 2925-position model. The record is from RNAcentral.
GCGGCUGGAUCCCCUCCUUUCUAAGGAUGCAGACGCAUCUCGAGCGACUCUGUCGCGUUUGAGAGAUCGUCGGCGUUUACUAGACAAAAGACGCCCGUGUUCGCACGGGCGCACUUCAGGAACGCGCUCGCCGCCGUCUCCGUUUCUCUUUCUCACUUCACCGCCAGUUGGGUAUAAGCCCGUAUGGCGGCGAUGCGCGUAGGGGUUCGCCCGGGCGUCGCCGACGUCUUUGAACGUCAAUCGACGUUUGAGGAGCGUAGAGGCCGGUAGCUCAGGUGGUUAGAGCGCACGCCUGAUAAGCGUGAGGUCGGUGGUUCAAGUCCACCUCGGCCUACCAUCGCUCUGGUGCGCGGUCGCCCUUGCGGCGGAAGCGCGUGACGGGGCCGUAGCUCAGUUGGGAGAGCGGUAGCUUUGCAAGCUUCAGGUCGUCGGUUCGAUCCCGUCCGGCUCCACCACGCGCGAUAUGUCUUUCGUCCGUGCGCUUCGUGCGCGCUGACGAGUUUGUCAUUGUGAAGAUGGGCUUGUUCGGGCCCCGUACCCGCGGGGCUUCAACGAAUGAGCUUCUCGAACAUCGUCUGACUUAGCGUUGAUGCGAGGGUGUUUGUCUUGUCUUUCGAGGCGAGGCGCUCACCGCGCAUGAGCGCAGCUGAUGAUCAAGCGUUUAAAGGCGUCUGGUGGAUGCCUUGGCGCGCAGAGGCGAUGAAGGACGUGGCACGCUGCGAAAAGCUGCGGGGAGGUGCGGGCAACCUUUGAUCCGCGGAUGU